RNAcentral lists this ribosomal RNA (406 nucleotides) under uncultured bacterium. RNAcentral's name for it is "partial 16S ribosomal RNA". It matches the Rfam family "Bacterial small subunit ribosomal RNA", at positions 29 to 526 of the family's 1533-position model. The record is from RNAcentral.
AUUGAACGCUGGCGGCAAGCCUAACACAUGCAAGUCGAACGAGUGGCGGACGGGUGAGAAAUGUCUGGGAAACUGCCUGAUGGAGGGGGAUAACUACUGGAACCGGUAGCUAAUACCGUAUACCCUCGGAUGUGCCCAGAUGGGAUUAGCGAGUAAGUGGGGACAAGGACCACCAAGGAGACGAUCCCUAGCUGGUCUGAGAGGAUGAACAGACACACUGGAACUGAGACACGGUCCAGACUCCUACGGGAGGCAGCAGUGGGGAAUAUGGCACAAUGGGCGAAAGCCGGAUGCAGCCAUGCCGCGUGUAUGAAGAAGGCCUUCGGGUUGUAAAGUACUUUCAGCGGGGAGGCGUUACCCGCAGAAGAAGCACCGGCUAACUCCGUGCCAGCAGCCGCGGUAAUUC